RNAcentral lists this ribosomal RNA (492 nucleotides) under uncultured bacterium. RNAcentral describes it as "partial 16S ribosomal RNA". It matches the Rfam family "Bacterial small subunit ribosomal RNA", at positions 29 to 507 of the family's 1533-position model. The record is from RNAcentral.
AGUGAACGCUGGCGGUAGGCCUAACACAUGCAAGUCGAACGGCAGCACAGUAAGAGCUCGCUCUUACGGGUGGCGACUGGCGGACGGGUGAGGAAUACAUAGGAAUCUACUUUUUCGUGGGGGAUAACGUAGGGAAACUUACGCUAAUACCGCAUACGACCUACGGGUGAAAGCAGGGGAUCUUCGGACCUUUCGCGAUUGAAUGAGCCGAUGUCGGAUUAGCUAGUUGGCGGGGUAAAGGCCCACCAAGGCGACGAUCCGUAGCUGGUCUGAGAGGAUGAUCAGCCACACUGGAACUGAGACACGGUCCAGACUCCUACGGGAGGCAGCAGUGGGGAAUAUUGGACAAUGGGCGCAAGCCUGAUCCAGCCAUACCGCGUGGGUGAAGAAGGCCUUCGGGUUGUAAAGCCCUUUUGUUGGGAAAGAAAAGCAGCAGGUUAAUACCCCGCUGUUCUGACGGUACCCAAAGAAUAAGCACCGGCUAACUUCGUG